RNAcentral lists this ribosomal RNA (497 nucleotides) under uncultured bacterium. RNAcentral's name for it is "partial 16S ribosomal RNA". It matches the Rfam family "Bacterial small subunit ribosomal RNA", at positions 28 to 507 of the family's 1533-position model. The record is from RNAcentral.
GACGAACGCUGGCGGCGUGCCUAAUACAUGCAAGUUGAGCGCCGAAGGUUGGUACUUGUACCAACUGGAUGAGCAGCGAACGGGUGAGUAACGCGUGGGGAAUCUGCCUUUGAGCGGGGGACAACAUUUGGAAACGAAUGCUAAUACCGCAUAAAAACUUUAAACACAAGUUUUAAGUUUGAAAGAUGCAAUUGCAUCACUCAAAGAUGAUCCCGCGUUGUAUUAGCUAGUUGGUGAGGUAAAGGCUCACCAAGGCGAUGAUACAUAGCCGACCUGAGAGGGUGAUCGGCCACAUUGGGACUGAGACACGGCCCAAACUCCUACGGGAGGCAGCAGUAGGGAAUCUUCGGCAAUGGACGAAAGUCUGACCGAGCAACGCCGCGUGAGUGAAGAAGGUUUUCGGAUCGUAAAACUCUGUUGGUAGAGAAGAACGUUGGUGGGAGUGGAAAGCUCAUCAAGUGACGGUAACUACCCAGAAAGGGACGGCUAACUACGUG